GGGGAUUUAGUUUAGCGGCAUAAGCGCCUGCCUUGUAAGCAGGCAAUCGCCAGUUCGAUCCCUGGUACCA
RNAcentral lists this transfer RNA (70 nucleotides) under Cavia porcellus (domestic guinea pig). It matches the Rfam family "tRNA". From Rfam's summary of the family: Transfer RNA (tRNA) molecules are approximately 80 nucleotides in length. Their secondary structure includes four short double-helical elements and three loops (D, anti-codon, and T loops). Further hydrogen bonds mediate the characteristic L-shaped molecular structure. tRNAs have two regions of fundamental functional importance: the anti-codon, which is responsible for specific mRNA codon recognition, and the 3' end, to which the tRNAs corresponding amino acid is attached (by aminoacyl-tRNA synthetases). tRNAs cope with the degeneracy of the genetic code in two manners: having more than one tRNA (with a specific anti-codon) for a particular amino acid; and 'wobble' base-pairing, i.e. permitting non-standard base-pairing at the 3rd anti-codon position. Lineage: Eukaryota; Metazoa; Chordata; Mammalia; Rodentia; Caviidae. The record is from Rfam by way of RNAcentral.